CGGGUGCACUGAUCCAGCCGGGCCUUUCCCUCUGUGGAACCCCAUGGCCUUCACUGGCUGUGGUGGGGAAACAGGACUUUUACUUUGAAAAAAUUAGAGUGCUCCAGGCAGGCCUAUGCUCGAAUACAUUAGCAUGGAAUAAUAGAAUAGGACGUGUGGUUCUAUUUUGUUGGUUUCUAGGACCGCCGUAAUGAUUAAUAGGGACAGUCGGGGGCAUCAGCAUUCAAUUGUCAGAGGUGAAAUUCUUGGAUCUAUUGAAGACUAACUACUGCGAAAGCAUUUGCCAAGGAUGUUUUCAUUGAUAAGGAACGAAAGUUAGGGGAUCGAAGACGAUCAGAUACCGUCGUAGUCUUAACUAUAAACUAUGCCGACUAGGGAUCGGACGAUGUUAUUCUUUGACGCGUUCGGCACCUUUCGAGAAAUCAAAGUGCUUGGGCUCCAGGGGGAGUAUGGUCGCAAGGCUGAAACUUAAAGAAAUUGACGGAAGGGCACCACCAGGGGUGGAACCUGCGGCUUAAUUUGACUCAACACGAGGAAACUCACCAGGUCCAGACACAGUGAGGAUUGACAGAUUGAGAGCUCUUUCUUGAUUCUGUGGGUGGUGGUGCAUGGCCGUUCUUAGUUGGUGGAGUGAUUUGUCUGCUUAAUUGCGAUAACGAACGAGACCUUAACCUGCUAAAUAGCCCGUACUGCUUUGGCAGUUCGUCGGCUUCUUAGAGGGACUAUCGG
This 729-nucleotide ribosomal RNA is filed under the name uncultured eukaryote. RNAcentral describes it as "SSU rRNA". It matches the Rfam family "Eukaryotic small subunit ribosomal RNA", at positions 670 to 1426 of the family's 1831-position model. The record is from RNAcentral.